CCCGCCCCAGCGCCUCCCCUGCACGUGCAUGCCCUCGUAUCCCGGCCCGCGGAACCACCCCUCGUGCUCCUCGUAGUGGAUGUACUCGUCCCAGGUGGCCGAGAACGGGGAGCCGUCGGGCGGCGGCGGCAGCGCCCCGACGAACGCCGCGAAGGCGAGGUCGUGGUUGCCGCAGAGGAAGACGUGGCGCUGCGCGGGGUGGCGCGUCGGGAGCGCGAGGAGGAAGUCGAGGACCCUGCGGGUGUCCGGGCCGCGGUCGUUGUAGUCGCCGAGGAAGAUGACCAGCGCGGUGGCGAAGGCGUCGGCGGGGAGCGCGGCCUCGAGGUUGGACCAGAGGCUCUCCAGCUUCGUGACGUAGCCGUGGACGUCGCCCACACAGAUCACGGUGCGGGGUGGGGGUGGUGCCGCGGAGGGAGCAGACAUCUCGGCCGGCGCGGCUGUUCGCCGGAGGCUUCACCGCAGACAAAGCGGGUAGCGAGCGGAGCGGCAGAGGAGCGAAGCCAUUAUCCUGUGAACUGUGAUGAAAAGGAGGCGCCUCCGGACUCUGGGCUCUGGCUGCCUUACAUUACUGGAGAACAAUACGCACCGUUCGAUCUUAGAGCCGCUUGAUCGACGCCGUCCAACUCGAUGCAGAGUGUCCCCAGUGCCCACCCCCUUCGGCGGCCCUCCCGCUUCCGUCUCGUUUGGACUUCGGACUCGGACGGCGCUCCUUGCGCCGUGCGCGACCGCCACGCCACGCCUCCAUCCGCCGCCGCCGCCGCGCUGGGUCUGGUCCGGGCUCCGUUUCCCCGGCCGACUUGGAUUUUCGCUGCUCCCGCUGCCGCGGCCGCGAGGAGUGAGACUGGAUAUCCUACUUGUACGACGGCACAUUCACCACACACACAGUACAGCUUACCGGCAGUCAAGGUGGCACCAAAACCCUUCUAGCAUUGGGUCAAUCUCAUCGGUUUCAUCAGUGCCUUCAAUCACUUCUGAGGGCUCAGCAGGCUUCUGCUCAGCUUCAACUUCUGAGAUUGCUUCAGCCGCUGCAGAGGUUGCUUGAGUUGUUGGUGCGUAUGCCUUCUCCUCCGCAACCAGCACCGUUCCAGUUCCAGGAGCACCAGCGCAGCUCAGAACGGUACCUGCAACAAAUUACAGAGCCAGCGCCGCUGAUAAGAACAGAGAAAACAGCACCACCAAAUAUGCAGGCUGCAACGACGACGAGAAACAAAACAAAAUGAGAAGAAGAAAACGAGAAAACCCAUUGGCCAGAAGAUGGAAACGAUUGCGGCAACGCAACAAAAUGCAGGUUCCUGUUUCAGGAACCGGGCGAGAGAGAGAGAGCCUUACGAGAGAAGAAGGCGUUCUUCCUCCUGAAAAACAGCGACGGCAAGUCCACCGCACUCCGCCGCUCCCCGCCAGAUAUUCGCGCCGAGCCGCCGGGCCGCACGACCCCGAGGAGCCUCGCGCCGGACACAGCGAACACCAUCCCGCGCGCACCCAGCUGCACAUCCGAGUCCGAGUCCAACCACCCGCACGGGCGGCCGCACGUACGCGAGCACGCGCGGCUCCUUCUUCACCCGCGCGCGCGCAGCCCACGGGAAAGGUCGAGGAGGAGCGCGGCGCGAGAUAAUGGUGGGAGCAACGUGUACGGCGGAGGACCGGAGGUGGAAGGCAGUGGCCAGGCGCGGGCCGCUGGCGCUGCAUGGGGAUGGGAGAGGGAAAAAGGCCAGCAGGGUGGGGGCCCCGCGGAAGCGCGUGUGGCGUCGUCUUCCCCGGGCGCCCGUGCCGGAGGUGGCAGAGGACGGAGACAGACAAGGGGGUUUUUCGUAACGGCCAAAAAAGCGCGAAAGCUCAAAAAACCGUUAGGAGUGUAGGCCUUGUUUAGGGCAACUCCAACAACAGCUUUGCUAUUUUUAUUAUGAAGGCCUUUUAAAACUUAUAUAGUAGAAAAAUAGGCUCCAACAGAUGUGCUAUUUGGUUUUGUAAAAUAGAAAGUUUGCUAUCCCUUGAUUUUCAUUGGCCAUAUAUAGCCAACCACUGACACUAGCUAUCUGAUAGCAAGGCUGUUGUAAACCUCUUCUUUUUUAAGAAGUUAUCUAUUUUACAAAAUAACUAAAUAUUAGAAUUUAGCUACCCAUUUUAGCCAAGCUCUUGGAGAUGCUCUUAGUUCCCAAAAAAUUUUACAAAAUUUUUCAAAUUUUCCGUCACAUCGAAUCUUUAAUUGCAUGUAUGGAGUAUUAAAUAUAGACGAAAAUAAAAACUAAUUGCAUAGUUUGGUCGGAAUUGAUGAGAUGAAUCUUUUGAACCUAGUUACUCCAUGAUUGGACAAUAUUUGUCACAAACAAACGAAAGUGUUAUAGUACCUGUUUAGCAAAAUUUUUUGGAACUAAAUAAGGCCUAAUUCCCGUCGCUGGCCGUGAGAAAAUGUAGCCAUCAACUCGAUCCAUCCAUCCAGACGUUUGAAUUUUUCUACACCAACUUUAAUCACUCAUUUUAUUAAAAAUUUAUGCAAAAUAUUACUAUUUCAUUUAUCGUGGCUUGGUUUAUUAAUAAAAGAUCUUUAAAAAUAAUUUAAAUUUGACUAUAUUUAUAUAAUUUUUUUUAAUAAAACGAGUGGUCAAACUUAAGAUAAAAAAAGUCAAACAUCUUAUAAUUUUAAAUAGAGAGAGUAGUUUGUUACUCAUAUUUUUAUUGUUUUUCUUAGCACUGCCUAAAACUGUCCUAGAGGCAUAUUCAAACUCUAGGCUAUGAGGUUGCAGCCCAAAUUAUUCAUAGGCAGGUCUUCCACAAUCCAUAGGAAUUCCCAACGUACAAUCCAAGAUAGCUCCUCCAACUAGCACAAGCAAUCCUUUAUUAAUUAGCUCCCUUUUGGAUAUCGUUUCUAGAUUCGCUCAUAUCUGCCUCUAAAUCCAUCCAAGUAGAGAAUAAUGUGGGAUCCACGUGUCUUCCUUUCUCCUAUGCUCAUCUCCAUGGAUGAAGUCCCUUUCUUGAACUCUUCUCCGUGGGCGGUAGCACAACACAGGGGGAUGGACGAUGCCUGGGCGUACAGGGUGGCGGGGGACCUCUUGGUUGGGUGCGCACGGGGCGACGCUGCUUAGGUGAACGGAGGCGCAUGGCGGAACCUAGGCGAGCGGAGGCGCACAGGGGCAAUAGUGGACAGACGAUGCAUGGGGCGGCGGGAUCUAAGCCAGAUGGAGCGAAGGCGCUGCCGGCGGCAGAGUGAAUGCCAGAGCCCGUGGGUAACACUGGCGACUGAGCAAACAUCGAAGACCUAGGCAAAUACCGCACUGGUGACCGAGCAAACACUGAAGGGUGCGGGAAAGGUGGGGCGAUGGAUGCCGUGGGCCGUGUGAGUCAAGCGUUGAGAGGAAAAUGUCCAAUCCAAAAUUUGCACAAUGGAGUAGGCAGCCAACAAGAGUAGGAGGUGAAGGAGGAAAGUAGGAGGCCAACAGAUCUAGGGGAUAUAGUAGAGGGCCUGCAAUAGUUGGUUUUUCUUCCUCCACUACUCAAAUCUAGAGUAGGAGCAAUGCUGGAGAUGCUCUAACGACAUGGGUAGCAUGUUAUUGUUAUCAACACAUCAUGUUACAAUAGAAAAUGGGUUGACCUAUAAAAAGAAAGGCUUUUAUCUUGAAUGAGAGGCAGCGCUCCUGUCAUGAUUUCAGAAAAAAGAAGGAAAGCCUUUGCCCUGAGACCUGUUGGAAAUCUUGAAUGCACACAGGUAGUCAGGUCACAAACUCAUACAACUCUACCCUUUUAAUGAAAAAAAUACUCGUUGGGCGUGGUCAUAAAAAAACACACAAACUCACAAUCAUUUCCAAAAAUUAAAAAAAACACUCCUAAAAAGGAUAUACAUGUUUAUUGUCUCAAAAAGAGGAUGUACAGUCUCUCGCCCAGGUCGACAUAUUCAAAUAGUUACACUUCAAACCUGGGCGCAGUCACUAAAAAAACACACACACACAACUCACAAUCCUAUUUUUUUUUUUUUAAAAAAAACCUCACACCUAAAAAGGAUGUACAAGUUUAUUGCCCUAAAAAAGAGGAUGUACAGUCUCUCGCCCAAGUCGACAGAGAUUCAAAUAGUUACACUUCACACUUGAAAAGGAUGUACAGUUUAUUGCCUUGAAAAAGAGGAUGUACAGUCUCUCAUCCAACUUAUUUCAUUUCCACAGUUUCAAAUAGUUACACUUCACACUAAUGACUAGACAUGUUAAGCCGCAGGUCUGGUUCACCAACUUAUUUCCUUUCGAGUUGUUCUUAUUGUUGUUUGACAUAUGAUACAUGAGUACAGGCAGUAAUUACAAGGAAAAAAAACUGCACCACCGUGUUCAAUGUGCCUCGGAACUUCUGAUCAAUGUCUUUGAAGGAAACACAAUUGCAGCAAUAGGUUUGUCUGCAUAACCACCACCUUCAUCGAUUAUGAAUCGGAGGCCGUCGAUGUGGAGCUUCCCGUGGUGGCCACUUACAAUGAUAGUUUGCUUGCCAGUCAGAUCCUGAAAAAACAGAUAUCCAUGACAUCAACAUUUCUGUUCAAGCUUUAUACAAUGGCGCUCAUGAGGGCAAAUGAGGUCACAGAAUGUGAUAAUGUGCACUACCCUGCAUUCAGGACAGGUCAUAUAGGUACAAUAGGUGUCAUGUGUCUGCGGUGAACAGAAAUCAUGUAUAGCACUCAUGCUUCCCUGUUUCAAGUUUCAACAAAACCAGAGAAUGGCAGAAGUAAAAAAAGACAGCUUGCAGCCAGAGGCAGACCCACACACCAGGCCAGGUUCAUCAAAUUCUAUGACAGAAGCGGAGGUUUUCAACAAAAAAUGUGCAAGUGAUCUAGUAAGAAGUACAUAGGUGUAUCAAAUUUGAAUAUCACAAUGUAAUGGUGCAAUUAGCAUUAUGGAUAACCCCUGUGUUUAGUUUUAUCUAAUAAUGAAAAUUCUGAACCUAUACCAUAUCCAGAUUGAAGUUUCCAGAGAACAUUACUAAGUGUUUCUACAUGGUGCACCCGAUUAGAUUCUACAGGGGGGCAAAUGGUAAUUCAAAAUGGCAUGACGACCAGAGUAAUGCAGACAUGCCAAUGAAUAUUGUGUUGAGAAUACUAGAGAAUAUACAGGACAUCGUAUUGGCCUGUCCUGCAGUUAAUAUGAGCACAUUUGAAACACUAGGACAGUUGUACUUGAUUUGCAGGCAUGUUAUGCUAGUUUCAUUCUGUACACAAAUAUACAAGGUUAGGCCAAAGACUGAUUCACAGUGUAAGAAAGAUAAAAGACGAGAGACCGGAACCAGUGUCUUUAAAUACUAUUUAUUCUAAAAAAACACUUAUUAUUUCAUACCUUAUCAGUUACCAAACCUAUUGUAUUUUCAAAAAAUAAUUUGUUCGCCCAAGGGAUGAUGAGACUAAAACUAAUAUAUGCACAGAUCAAUUUUCUCAAUUUCAAAAGCUGGAAAAAUGAAGCAUCGUGGAGUGGGUGGAAUCAAGAGUCAAGACUUAAGAGAGCAGGCUCGACUCAGCUCAGCAGUAAUAUAAUAUCAGCUCUGAUAACUCCAGUAAAACAAUUAGGUUUACUGCCACCAGCUCUGCUAAAAUGAUGUCACAUCAGCUCAACAACAUGAACUAACAUAUCAUGAGCUAAUAAUGAUGUGCCUAGCGCACAGUAGAUUUUAAAGGCAUGUACAGAUGCAUUCUAAAGACCAAGAUGGUCUCUUCCCUAAAUUUCAAGAUACAUAAAUAAGCAUUCGCAGAAUCAUUCUGCAGAGUAUUGUCUCACCAAGCUGGUAAAUAUAAAAAACUCAGAAACUAAGUUUCUUUUCUGGUAAACUAGAGAGAAAUAAGAUGCAGAUUUUUUUUUUCUCACCUUGGGUGUGUUCCAAACAUCUUGCCGCCCACUAAGCAUUUGAACCUUUGGCACCCUUGUGUCUCUGGUUCUCAAAACUCUAAGUUGCUCAUUCAAAUCUAUGGUCCUCUCUAGGCCAGCAUGGACGGCAAUCAGAUUGCAGAUGAUUUGUCCUUCAUCCGUAUCAAUUGGCACAUUUUCCUGUCAUAAAACCAUAACCUGAAUACCUUAGGAGCAACAACUCUUGCUUGGACACUUACAAUUUACAAAAUAACUCACCUCUUCAUGUAUCCAAACCAAGUCAUGCAGAAACCUCUUGUGCUCCUCUGGCACAGCCUUUGCGAGAUCUGUGAAGAAAUUAGAACCAACAGCAAAUUAGAAUUAGGAGAUGAUCUUGUUUAAAAUAGGGAAGUUUUUGCUGAAAAUUAGAAUUUGUUUGGUUAAUUUAUGGCAGGAGAUUACGUAUGAUUAUAUGCUUACACAAUCUAGUCAGGAGUACCAAAUUUCUUAUUUUGUAUCUUAAGUAAGAUAAAUAGUACUAGUACCUUGCUUUAUCAGUGAAUAGCUUACCAAGUUUUACUGUGUCAAGUGUUCAACAUAAAACUCCAUUGAAGGCUUGAAGCAGUCAUUUUGAUCUUGUGUAGAAAAUUUACAUUAUCUGGCUUGCUUUGUGCAACUACUGUUGGACAGCAGAUUGGCUUGCUAAGAGAGGACUCCUGAUCAGCAGCCUGCCUUCUUUCUGAUCAGGAGGGAGAAUCAAUUCAGCACCUGUUGCUUUGCAGCGUCUUUGCUCAACAGGUUUGGUUUAUAAUUUUCCAGUGGUUGGACCUCGCUGCUAUGCCAUCACACCACAACCUUCCACCAGCAGAUUCUCAAGUUGGUGGUGCAAGGCAAUGAAGGAGGUCUCGAAAGAAGGUCAAGAAAGGGCUUAUUAUCUCAUUAUUCUUGUGGGAUCGAAAAUUUGGAACCAUCGCAACAACUGUGUGUUCAAUGAGGCAAAUCCUUGUAUAUCAAUAGUGCUGCAAAUAGAGUUCAUAGUCUAUCCUUUGGUGUGCUGCUGUCAGCUGAACCAAAAUGACUCCCUGAGUUACUUGACGGGGCAUCUAUAUUCCAUUGUUUGGUGUGCUGCUGCGUGCUGGAGCAAAAGGCUCUUCCAGGAGUUACUCGCCAUGGCAUUACAUUAGACUAGCUUUUUGGUCGUCUGGUUGCUUGCUGCAUCAAGCUUGCUGAUGUUGUUACCUAUUGUGAGAGUUGUAUCUUGGGUGAGUCUUUGUAUGUUUCUCCAAUCCCCCAUUGUUCUCUCUUCUUCCUCAAUGAAAUGACUGAUUAACAAAAUCAAUUUCUCAUACUAUUGGGAAAUUGUGCAUUGAUUUAGUAAACAUGCAAAUAAGAAUUCAUAGGUUCCUUGCAUGCUCGAUUUCAGCAUUUCUUAUGGUUCAUGCAGUCUCGUGAGAGAUUGAUUAUAUAUCAACACAACAUGCCCGCAUUUUGGAAGUGCACCACAGCUCGAAUCGACAGGCAGGCUCCAUGGCAAAUUUGCAUUGUUUGAUAACUAGAGUACACAGUACACACAACCACAACUAGUACUGAGUAAGAAAGGAUGCAAGAAACCAAUUAAAGUGACGAUGAAAUUUCAUGACUGACCAGGUGAACCAUGGGCGACGCCGUAGGAUUCGAAGGUUGGCUGCGCGUCAUAGAUGGAGCCCUUGUACGGCAGCCCUUUCUUGGGGUUCCACCUCUCCUUGAUGACCCCGCCCCAGCGCCUCCCCUGCACGUGCAUGUCCUCGUAUCCCGGCCCGCGGAACCACCCCUCGUGCUCCUCGUUGUGGAUGUACUCGUCCCAGGUGGCCGAGAACGGGGAGCCGUCGGGCGGCGGCGGCAGCGCCCCGACGAACGCCGCGAAGGCGAGGUCGUGGUUGCCGCAGAGGAAGACGUGGCGCUGCCCGGGGUGGCGCGUUGGGAGCUCGAGGAGGAAGUCGAGGACCCUGCGGGUGUCCGGGCCGCGG
Molecule: long non-coding RNA, 7807 nt
Filed under: Sorghum bicolor (sorghum)
Lineage: Eukaryota; Viridiplantae; Streptophyta; Magnoliopsida; Poales; Poaceae
Description: long non-coding RNA (SBIC_LNC011115)
Source: RNAcentral